This 229-nucleotide ribosomal RNA is filed under the name uncultured bacterium. RNAcentral's name for it is "partial 16S ribosomal RNA". It matches the Rfam family "Bacterial small subunit ribosomal RNA", at positions 568 to 796 of the family's 1533-position model. The record is from RNAcentral.
UGCGUAGGCGGAAUGAUAAGUCAAUGGUGAAAUCCCCCGGCUCAACCGGGGAACUGCCUUUGAAACUAUUGUUCUUGAGUACAGUUGAAGUGGGCGGAAUGUGUCAUGUAGCGGUGAAAUGCAUAGAUAUGACACAGAACACCGAUAGCGAAGGCAGCUCGCUAAACUGUAACUGACGCUCAGGCACGAAAGCGUAGGGAGCAAACAGGAUUAGAUACCCUGGUAGUCC